GUUCCUGCCUCCAGGAAUCUGACACUCUACAAGCAGCAAUAGGUGAGGCAUGUAUAUACACGGCUCUACUGUGAGGCAGCAUGAAAUUGGGGUCAUGUAAAGAAGGACCAAGUACACUGAGAAUUCAGAGGGAGCCUCACUUCCAGCAGCUUUGGUCAGUGAAUGCUUUCACCACAGACGAGGAGGCAUCUGAGUUGGGCAUUAAGCCACGAGUCAGAUUUCAGAAGGCACAGAUGGGGGGAAUGAAGCAUCGCAAGCAGACGGAAUGGCAUGAGCAAGGACAGAAGUAGAAAAGUACAGGGAACAAACAGUGAUCCAAUUUGGCUGGACCAUGGUGUACCACAGGGGGUGGUGGUGCUUGGGAGUAAAGGAGUCAGAAAAGUCAAAGUCCACAGAGGGGUUCAUCAGUCCAAAAUACCAGAUGUAACUUCUAGGGAACUACAGUAUCUGAAGAGGUCAGAGGCUUCAUGCCCAGCACAGAGCCCAACACAGGACUUGAACUCAUG
This is a long non-coding RNA of Leopardus geoffroyi (Geoffroy's cat), 506 nucleotides long. RefSeq lists it as uncharacterized. The record is from RefSeq and is a predicted model, not a curated record. NCBI's taxonomy places the organism in Eukaryota, Metazoa, Chordata, Mammalia, Carnivora, Felidae. The transcript is spliced from 3 exons.